RNAcentral lists this ribosomal RNA (568 nucleotides) under uncultured bacterium. RNAcentral's name for it is "partial 16S ribosomal RNA". It matches the Rfam family "Bacterial small subunit ribosomal RNA", at positions 355 to 912 of the family's 1533-position model. The record is from RNAcentral.
UGGGGAAUUUUGGACAAUGGGCGAAAGCCUGAUCCAGCAAUGCCGCGUGUGUGAAGAAGGCCUUCGGGUUGUAAAGCACUUUUGUCCGGAAAGAAAUCCUUGGCUCUAAUACAGUCGGGGGAUGACGGUACCGGAAGAAUAAGCACCGGCUAACUACGUGCCAGCAGCCGCGGUAAUACGUAGGGUGCAAGCGUUAAUCGGAAUUACUGGGCGUAAAGCGUGCGCAGGCGGUUUGCUAAGACCGAUGUGAAAUCCCCGGGCUCAACCUGGGAACUGCAUUGGUGACUGGCAGGCUAGAGUAUGGCAGAGGGGGGUUAGAAUUCCACGUGUAGCAGUGAAAUGCGUAGAGAUGUGGAGGAAUACCGAUGGCGAAGGCAGCCCCCUGGGCCAAAUACUGACGCUCAUGCACGAAAGCGUGGGGGAGCAAAACAGGAUUCAGAUACCCUGGUAGUCCACGCCCUAAACGAUGUCAACUAGUUGUUGGGGAUUCAUUUCCUUAGUAACGUAGCUAACGCGUGAAGUUGACCGCCNGGGGAGUACGGUCGCAAGAUUAAAACUCAAUGAAUUG